GCUCCCGUGGCCUAAUGGAUAAGGCGUUGGAUUCGGAAUCCAAAUACUGUGGGUAUGAGUUCUAUCAGGAGCG
Molecule: non-coding RNA, 73 nt
Organism: Nephila pilipes (giant wood spider)
Lineage: Eukaryota; Metazoa; Arthropoda; Arachnida; Araneae; Nephilidae
Source: the annotation of a GenBank genome assembly